AUUCGCUCACUCAAAAGUAACGACUUGAGUUGAGUGACUGGAGUAAUAGUCGAGUGAAGCCCGGGAAAGAGUACAAGAGAAUGGGGGAAUGAGACAAAUUAUGUGCGAACAGAGAGGCGAAUGAGUUAGGCUAGUUUCAAAUUUAUGACAUUAAAGGAAGUAUUGAAGUAUUGAAGUUCAGAUUUUGUUUCAAAUACAUAGAUGCUAGAGUUUUACAGUGAAUUC
Non-coding RNA from Caenorhabditis elegans, 225 nucleotides. The record is from Ensembl. NCBI's taxonomy places the organism in Eukaryota, Metazoa, Nematoda, Chromadorea, Rhabditida, Rhabditidae.